This 519-nucleotide ribosomal RNA is filed under the name uncultured bacterium. RNAcentral describes it as "bacterial SSU rRNA". It matches the Rfam family "Bacterial small subunit ribosomal RNA", at positions 9 to 526 of the family's 1533-position model. The record is from RNAcentral.
GAGUUUGAUCCUGGCUCAGGAUGAACGCUGGCGGCGUGCUUAACACAUGCAAGUCGAGCGAAGCACUUAGGAAAGAUUCUUCGGAUGAUUUCCUAUUUGACUGAGCGGCGGACGGGUGAGUAACGCGUGGGUAACCUGCCUCAUACAGGGGGAUAACAGUUAGAAACGACUGCUAAUACCGCAUAAGCCCACGGUACCGCAUGGCACUGAGGGAAAAGGAUUUAUUCGCUUUAGGAUGGACUCGCGUCCAAUUAGCUAGUUGGUGAGGUAACGGCCCACCAAGGCGACGAUUGGUAGCCGGACUGAGAGGUUGAACGGCCACAUUGGGACUGAGACACGGCCCAGACUCCUACGGGAGGCAGCAGUGGGGGAUAUUGCACAAUGGGGGAAACCCUGAUGCAGCGACGCCGCGUGGAGGAAGAAGGUUUUCGGAUUGUAAACCUCUGUCUUCAGGGACGAUAAUGACGGUACCUGAGGAGGAAGCUCCGGCUAACUACGUGCCAGCCGCCGCGGUAAUUC